UAGUCCACGCCGUAAACGAUAUCAACUAGCCGUUGGGAGCAUUUAAGCUCUGAGUGGCGCAGCUAACGCGAUAAGUUGACCGCCUGGGGAGUACGCCGGCAACGGUAAAACUCAAAGGAAUUGACGGGGGCCCGCACAAGCGGUGGAGCAUGUGGUUUAAUUCGAUGCAACGCGAAGAACCUUACCUGGUCUUGACAUCCACAGAACUUGGCAGAGAUGCCUUGGUGCCUUCGGGAACUGUGAGACAGGUGCUGCAUGGCUGUCGUCAGCUCGUGUUGUGAAAUGUUGGGUUAAGUCCCGCAACGAGCGCAACCCUUAUCCUUUGUUGCCAGCGGUUAGGCCAGGAACUCUAAGGAGACUGCCGGUGACAAACCGGGAGGAAGGUGGGGAUGGACGUCAAGUCAUCAUGGCCCUCAUGGGCUUGGGGCUACACACGUGCUACAAUGGGUC
This 450-nucleotide ribosomal RNA is filed under the name uncultured bacterium. Its description in RNAcentral is "bacterial SSU rRNA". It matches the Rfam family "Bacterial small subunit ribosomal RNA", at positions 791 to 1236 of the family's 1533-position model. The record is from RNAcentral.